Molecule: transfer RNA, 71 nt
Filed under: Stegodyphus mimosarum
Lineage: Eukaryota; Metazoa; Arthropoda; Arachnida; Araneae; Eresidae
Rfam family: tRNA
About the family: Transfer RNA (tRNA) molecules are approximately 80 nucleotides in length. Their secondary structure includes four short double-helical elements and three loops (D, anti-codon, and T loops).
Source: Rfam by way of RNAcentral
ACCUUCAUGGUAUAAUGGUAGCACACUCCACGCGUAUUCUAGAGGUCCGGGUUCGAGUCCCGGCGAGGGCA